RNAcentral lists this ribosomal RNA (632 nucleotides) under Escherichia coli. Its description in RNAcentral is "partial 23S ribosomal RNA". It matches the Rfam family "Bacterial large subunit ribosomal RNA", at positions 1252 to 1869 of the family's 2925-position model. Lineage: Bacteria; Pseudomonadati; Pseudomonadota; Gammaproteobacteria; Enterobacterales; Enterobacteriaceae. The record is from RNAcentral. RNAcentral also lists the same sequence under 1 other name.
GAAGGUGUGCUGUGAGGCAUGCUGGAGGUAUCAGAAGUGCGAAUGCUGACAUAAGUAACGAUAAAGCGGGUGAAAAGCCCGCUCGCCGGAAGACCAAGGGUUCCUGUCCAACGUUAAUCGGGGCAGGGUGAGUCGACCCCUAAGGCGAGGCCGAAAGGCGUAGUCGAUGGGAAACAGGUUAAUAUUCCUGUACUUGGUGUUACUGCGAAGGGGGGACGGAGAAGGCUAUGUUGGCCGGGCGACGGUUGUCCCGGUUUAAGCGUGUAGGCUGGUUUUCCAGGCAAAUCCGGAAAAUCAAGGCUGAGGCGUGAUGACGAGGCACUACGGUGCUGAAGCAACAAAUGCCCUGCUUCCAGGAAAAGCCUCUAAGCAUCAGGUAACAUCAAAUCGUACCCCAAACCGACACAGGUGGUCAGGUAGAGAAUACCAAGGCGCUUGAGAGAACUCGGGUGAAGGAACUAGGCAAAAUGGUGCCGUAACUUCGGGAGAAGGCACGCUGAUAUGUAGGUGAAGUCCCUCGCGGAUGGAGCUGAAAUCAGUCGAAGAUACCAGCUGGCUGCAACUGUUUAUUAAAAACACAGCACUGUGCAAACACGAAAGUGGACGUAUACGGUGUGACGCCUGCCCGGUGC